AAGGCGGUAUCCUUAAAGGAACUGCACUUCGUUGUGUAUCAUUUGCAAGUUAUCGAGUUGUAUCGAAUUACGGUUGUUAAUGAGAGCAACAUUUCUCAUUUCGACAACGGAAUAACCUAUGAAACAAGAUGUUGGAUUCUGCUCUGAGCCUUACGGGACCGAGACAGAGGG
Molecule: non-coding RNA, 171 nt
Organism: Paenibacillus pectinilyticus
Lineage: Bacteria; Bacillati; Bacillota; Bacilli; Caryophanales; Paenibacillaceae
Source: Rfam